GACGAACGCUGGCGGCGUGCUUAACACAUGCAAGUCGAACGGAAAGGCCCUGCUUGCAGGGUACUCGAGUGGCGGACGGGUGAGUAACACGUGGGUGAUCUGCCCUGCACUUCGGGAUAAGCUUGGGAAACUGGGUCUAAUACCGGAUAGGACCGCACUUUAGUGUGUGUGGUGGAAAGUUUUUUCGGUGUAGGAUGAGCUCGCGGCCUAUCAGCUUGUUGGUGGGGUAAUGGCCUACCAAGGCGGCGACGGGUAGCCGGCCUGAGAGGGUGUACGGCCACAUUGGGACUGAGAUACGGCCCAGACUCCUACGGGAGGCAGCAGUGGGGAAUAUUGCACAAUGGGCGCAAGCCUGAUGCAGCGACGCCGCGUGGGGGAUGAAGGCCUUCGGGUUGUAAACUCCUUUCGCUAGGGACGAAGCUUUUUGUGACGGUACCUAGAGAAGAAGCACCGGCUAACUACGUG
RNAcentral lists this ribosomal RNA (465 nucleotides) under uncultured bacterium. RNAcentral's name for it is "partial 16S ribosomal RNA". It matches the Rfam family "Bacterial small subunit ribosomal RNA", at positions 28 to 507 of the family's 1533-position model. The record is from RNAcentral.